UCUCUCUCCACUCGUGGAGACAGACCCGUUUUAUUCUACACUAAAGCGCUGCUCUUGUGAAACUGCUCCCUGCCUGAGGUCACUCCAUCGUAUUGGCCUGGCUGGUGACUUUUUUCCCCAAGAAAGGAGUCAGAGGACCAGGAUAAUAGUCUGGACCUGACACUUUGGUGUGUCUGGUCAUUCUUUGGCCAAGAGCACACCAAGAACUGAGGGCAGACUCCCACCCUGGCGUCUUUUUGGUGCCAAAACCCAGGAUUCGAACAGGACCGUCUAGUUGCAGGAAGAUAAGCUCAGGGCUCCCACUGAUUCUGCAUAAUGGGACACUGAUAAGUCAAUAUCCACCUAAGACAUCUCUCCAGCCUCAUACAGGAACCAGCUGGGGGCUUGAUUCAAGCAUGAGGAUAAACGAUAUCACCAAAAAUAAGCCCCUCCCAGUGACCAACCACAGGCAUUAUUUCAUUAAUCUUCAACUCCUAAAAAUCCCGCCAGGUGACCUGCCAAGAUCAGAAUUAACAUCUUCAGUCUCUGAGAACACCCACUGCUCCCCAGAAGAUGGGGCACACACAGACACGGGACCACCACCAGAGAACCUGUCCAGUGUCAAGAAAUAAAAAUGAUACAUCCCCAUUUCCUGUAAGUUCAAGGGUUAGUCCAUUAAGAAACCACGUGGAAGAAUGGGGGUUGCAUUCCAGAUCCUCAAGGUAAGUUAACCUGUGGAAUUCUACCUUUUACAUAAAAAUCGGUAGGUAAAUUGGGUUAUCCGGCAGUUUAUCACAGAGUCGUGCAGUUUCACUGGUGGUGGAGGAGGUUUUUCUAAACCUGUUUUCAAAGGGAAGGAAAAAGGGAAACAUUCGACUGGGCACCUAAAAAUGAAAUGUAACUGCCAAGCUGCCCUAUGUCCAAAGGAGCUCACAGCCCCUGGGAGUUGGAAUAUUGUGUCUCAACGUGAAGAACAAAUGGACAAAGGUAGGAAGUCACAAAUACAAUUUAUAAAAGAUUAUCUCUUCUAUUUGCUCCCUAUUUUUGCCCCCUUUAAGACUCAACUAUCUUGGGGUGAAUUAGGCUGCCAUGAAAGUUCUGAAGGGGACCCUCCCCCAAAACAGCCCCACCUCUUCACCACCCAGGAAACGGGGCCUGGCAGUUGGGGUAAAGUCCACUCGUGGCCUUUAGACUGAACUGUGCCUGGGAUAACACCUGUUUGGAACACCUUCUUUAAAACUCCGAAAUCUGCUUCAUACCAACACACCAGCCAGCAAAACCAUUCCUCAAAGUCGUGCUGAAAAGACUUCCUGACUGCAUGGAACCAGCUAUGGAGCCAGGAGUGACAGCGAGGCACAGGCCAUGGAAAUUGCAGAACUCACUUGGAACAGGGGCUGAUCACAGUUGGCGUAGGUGCAGAAGUUUGGCCCAUUGAAUAGAACACUGCAUUUCCUACGACUGUCUUAGACCACUACCCAGUCUCCUUGUACCCACUAAAGUCAUGAAAAAACCACGUUUAAUAAGAUCUCUGCCAUUAGAACGCUAGCAAACUCUUACCAACUGUUUUUCCCCCUGCGGAAGAACAGAACACCAAGUUUCAUCAGGAUUUUUUUCUAAUCAACAAAAGGUGCUCCAGCUGCAGCCAACAAGCUCCGCCUGCCCUUUGUUAGCCCAGCUCCUGACAGAAGAUGAUCAUCCUAACGGUAGCAUUUGCUUGCUAAUUACAUUAAGCCUUUGCUUUCUGGAUUGAGGGACGUAUGCUAAACUGAGAAGAGCUGCAUUUGGUCCACGGGCCCCUGAUGGAUGGAGCGUGGCUCAGGUCUCUGCUAGAUCAGAGUUGUGGCCUCAGAUCACCGUGCCUCCUCCUAAGUGUUUGGCAAAACUUCAACCAAGGAAAAAACUGCUAAUGAAGUUUCUUUUCAAAUCUCUGCCUGAGUUUAGUGUUUUUCCCCAUAUUACAAGCUGAUAUGUCCCCUUUUAAUGCUCUUUUUGUUUUUUUUUGGUGUUCUUUUUAUUCCACACACAUCGAUCCUCUUUGGCAUUCUUCUUGCACCUUCCUGAGGCUAUUUGAGUCCUUUUCCUCCUGCAUUCCCUGCAGUAGGACAGCCCAUCUCCCUCUUCCGCAGUCUGCCCUUCCUCCUUCCUGCAUGUUCACCUGCUGAAGCUCGGGGGUCUCAGAUUUUCCAGAGGCCCCGAGGGAGGUUCCUUCCCCAAGCAUCCAGUAUAUGCUGGGAUGAGAGGCCAGGUAGAAACGUUGGGAGGAUUCCACCUGGCAGUGUGAGGCUCUCCCAGGCACAAAAUAAACAUCCCAGGCUAGCAAGUGAACCUGGCUCACGUGGCAUUUAUUAACAUGUAGGAGAAACUGCUCCAGGGAGGAUGCAGGAAGCUGAGUUACCGACUAGGAAGGGCUUUGCUCUUGGUUCUAAAAGAGCAAACAGCAGCGAAGUAAAAGACUGUUUUAUAUCAGUGUUCUUUAAAACUUGCUGUUCUCAUUAUCUUCGUCAGCCCUGAGUUAGCCCUGAUGCUACACACAAACUGCAAUAACACGUGAACGACAGAUCUUGUCUUUAGAUUCUAUAAGAAAUUUCUCUGCAGAGUCUAAAAAUGGGGCCACCUCAUAUCUUAGAAAAGUAGAACCACAGGGCACCACUUGUGGCUUAAAUGAGGUGACAUACAAUGUUGGGGGGCAGAAGACGAUCCCCCAGUAUAAAGCACGUGGGCAUGCUGGGUGCUUUUCAAAAGUGAAAGACCUCGAUUUGGCUGACCUAAAUCCAAAUCCACCCAAGAAAGGAAAUAAGGCUUAGAAUCAAGGUCCCUCUAUAACCUUAUCUUGUUUCUUCCCCACCCCUGAGCGCAGGAAGGGACUAUUCUCUGGAAUUUCCUUAUCUGACCAACUAAGCUUCUUAACCAAAAGUAACACAACUGCAAAAAAAGAUGACUGAGGAACGCAACCACACCUGGACAGACUUUUCCACAAGAUAAUGCCUGCCUCUCGCGCUCAUUCUGAUUCCAAAGAGAAUCAUUUGUUUUGAAGUGCUGUUGAUCCUGUGAAUGAAAUACAGUCCUAUACCCCAUAAUGACGUUUUGGUCAAUGACGGACCACAUCGACAAUGGGGGUCUCAUAAGAUAAUAGAGCUGAACAAUUUCUGCCACGUAGUGAUGUCAUAGCCAU
Lemur catta (Ring-tailed lemur) is the source of this 3151-nucleotide long non-coding RNA. RefSeq lists it as uncharacterized. The transcript is spliced from 7 exons. Lineage: Eukaryota; Metazoa; Chordata; Mammalia; Primates; Lemuridae. The record is from RefSeq and is a predicted model, not a curated record.